RNAcentral lists this ribosomal RNA (743 nucleotides) under Desulfovibrio piger. Its description in RNAcentral is "bacterial SSU rRNA". It matches the Rfam family "Bacterial small subunit ribosomal RNA", at positions 19 to 746 of the family's 1533-position model. The record is from RNAcentral. Lineage: Bacteria; Pseudomonadati; Thermodesulfobacteriota; Desulfovibrionia; Desulfovibrionales; Desulfovibrionaceae.
CUGGCUCAGAUUGAACGCUGGCGGCGUGCUUAACACAUGCAAGUCGUACGCGAAAGGGACUUCGGUCCCGAGUAAAGUGGCGCACGGGUGAGUAACACGUGGAUGAUCUGCCUCUAUGAUGGGGAUAACAGUUGGAAACGACUGCUAAUACCGAAUACGCUCAUGAUGAACGUUGUGAGGAAAGGUGGCCUCUGCUUGCAAGCUAUCGCAUAGAGAUGAGUCCGCGUCCCAUUAGCUCGUUGGUGGGGUAACGGCCUACCAAGGCAACGAUGGGUAGCCGAUCUGAGAGGAUGAUCGGCCACACUGGAACUGAAACACGGUCCAGACUCCUACGGGAGGCAGCAGUGGGGAAUAUUGCGCAAUGGGCGAAAGCCUGACGCAGCGACGCCGCGUGAGGGAUGAAGGUCUUCGGAUCGUAAACCUCUGUCAGAAGGGAAGAAACUGGGGUGUUCUAAUCAGCAUCCCACUGACGGUACCUUCAAAGGAAGCACCGGCUAACUCCGUGCCAGCAGCCGCGGUAAUACGGAGGGUGCAAGCGUUAAUCGGAAUCACUGGGCGUAAAGCGCACGUAGGCUGUUAUGUAAGUCAGGGGUGAAAGCCCACGGCUCAACCGUGGAACUGCCCUUGAUACUGCACGACUCGAAUCCGGGAGAGGGUGGCGGAAUUCCAGGUGUAGGAGUGAAAUCCGUAGAUAUCUGGAGGAACAUCAGUGGCGAAGGCGGCCACCUGGACCGGUAUGACGC